GGCGAACGCUGGCGGCGUGCUUAACACAUGCAAGUCGAACGGAAAGGCCCUGCUUUUGUGGGGUGCUCGAGUGGCGAACGGGUGAGUAACACGUGAGUAACCUGCCCUUGACUUUGGGAUAACUUCAGGAAACUGGGGCUAAUACCGGAUAGGAGCUCCUGCUGCAUGGUGGGGGUUGGAAAGUUUCGGCGGUUGGGGAUGGACUCGCGGCUUAUCAGCUUGUUGGUGGGGUAGUGGCUUACCAAGGCUUUGACAGGUAGCCGGCCUGAGAGGGUGACCGGCCACAUUGGGACUGAGAUACGGCCCAGACUCCUACGGGAGGCAGCAGUGGGGAAUAUUGCACAAUGGGCGGAAGCCUGAUGCAGCAACGCCGCGUGCGGGAUGACGGCCUUCGGGUUGUAAACCGCUUUCGCCUGUGACGAAGCGUGAGUGACGGUAAUGGGUAAAGAAGCACCGGCUAACUACGUG
This 468-nucleotide ribosomal RNA is filed under the name uncultured bacterium. Its description in RNAcentral is "partial 16S ribosomal RNA". It matches the Rfam family "Bacterial small subunit ribosomal RNA", at positions 28 to 507 of the family's 1533-position model. The record is from RNAcentral.